GUCGUGAGACAGUUCGGUCCCUAUCCGGCGUAGGCGGAGGAUAUUUGAGAGGAGCUGCCCUUAGUACGAGAGGACCGGGGUGGACGGACCACUGGUGUAUCUGUUAGGAACCAAUCCUAUGGCAGAGUAGCCAAGUCCGGCAGGGAUAAACGCUGAAGGCAUCUAAGCGUGAAGCCCCCCUCAAGAUGAGAUAUCCCAACAUGUAAGACCCCUUGAAGACUACGAGGUAGAUAGGCUUAAGGUGUAAGUGCAGUAAUGUAUUCAGCUGAUAAGUACUAAUAGGUCGAGGGCUUCAUCA
This 298-nucleotide ribosomal RNA is filed under the name Lachnospiraceae bacterium XBB2008. Its description in RNAcentral is "23S rRNA. Bacterial LSU". It matches the Rfam family "Bacterial large subunit ribosomal RNA", at positions 2618 to 2925 of the family's 2925-position model. Lineage: Bacteria; Bacillati; Bacillota; Clostridia; Lachnospirales; Lachnospiraceae. The record is from RNAcentral.